This 252-nucleotide ribosomal RNA is filed under the name uncultured bacterium. RNAcentral's name for it is "partial 16S ribosomal RNA". It matches the Rfam family "Bacterial small subunit ribosomal RNA", at positions 524 to 776 of the family's 1533-position model. The record is from RNAcentral.
UACGGAGGGGGCUAGCGUUGUUCGGAAUUACUGGGCGUAAGCGCACGUAGGCGGCUUUGCAAGUUAGAGGUGAAAGCCCGGGGCUCAACUCCGGAAUUGCCUUUAAAACUGCAUCGCUAGAAUUGUGGAGAGGUAAGUGGAAUUCCGAGUGUAGAGGUGAAAUUCGUAGAUAUUCGGAAGAACACCAGUGGCGAAGGCGACUUACUGGACACAUAUUGACGCUGAGGUGCGAAAGCGUGGGGAGCAAACAGG